Long non-coding RNA from Lutra lutra (Eurasian river otter), 594 nucleotides. RefSeq lists it as uncharacterized. The record is from RefSeq and is a predicted model, not a curated record. NCBI's taxonomy places the organism in Eukaryota, Metazoa, Chordata, Mammalia, Carnivora, Mustelidae. The transcript is spliced from 3 exons.
CUGGAGGAGAGGGCUUGGGACAGGAAGGAGAGUGCUGUGGGGCAGGAGAAAAGCUGAACAAACUUCCAAACCCCAGCAAGAAGGAAGAGAAUUCUGUUUACAGAACGGUCACCCAGGAGCCCUGGACUGGGGUGCAGUGAUGCACUGAUCUAUGUUCCAGUCUCUUCCCCUCUCCAGCUUCCUGCUGGAGGAUUCCAACAGCCCUCCCAGAGGUGUGCACAGCAGGACCAUGGAGUUUCCCUUCUCCUGCACUAUGGUGACCCACCCUCCACUCUGCCACUGUCCAUAGUGACUGAUGGCUUGUAUUUUACCUACAACUGGGGACUCCCCAGCCUCCUUUUCAACUGGUUAGUGUCUUGUGGUUUUCUCACUGUUUCACAACGGAAAAUGGCCCAAACCUGAGUGACAGAAAGUCCCAGGGAUCCAGUCAAACCUUGCACCAGUCAAAGCUUGACUCAGAGUCAAAGGUCUGGGCUGAAGUUUUGAGUAAAAUUUUAAAGAGUACAGGGGUGCCUGGGUGGCUCAGUCGUUAAGCGUCUGCCUUCGGCUCAGGUCAUGAUCUCAGGGUCCUGGGAUCGAGCCCCACAUCGGGCU